Molecule: non-coding RNA, 501 nt
Organism: Hydra vulgaris (swiftwater hydra)
Lineage: Eukaryota; Metazoa; Cnidaria; Hydrozoa; Anthoathecata; Hydridae
Source: RefSeq, a predicted model, not a curated record
UAACAUCGUCAGUUUUUAUAUGCAUUUAAUAUUUUUAAAAAUAGUUCAAAAGCUGUCAAAAUAAAAUGGUGAAUUGAGUUUAAACCAGAAAAGAUAUAAACGUAAUCUUUGGGAUUCAACUUGUAAGGAUGUUCCAAGAACCACUUAGUUGGAGAAGGAAAACUGUGCCGUUCAUUAACAAGUCCUGUGCUUUAUAAUAUAUUAAAAAAUGGAAGGACGUGAAGAAAACAGGUUUGUAAAUGAUGUUGUACAUCAUGCAGAUAGCUCAGAAGAAGAAGCAGGAAUGUUUGACUGGAAAUAUAAACGAUGUUGUACAUAAUGCAGAUAGCUUAGGCAAAAAAGAGAUUGGUGAAAUGGAGAAUGAGACUAACUAGGGUGAAAAAAAAUGAAUAUUAAUAUGUGAAUGGUACUUUGUUUAACAUCUACCUGUUUCUACAGAUACAGUACAGACGCAUUUAUAAAUGGGCUUGAUGUUUUUUUGAAUUAAAUAUGUUGUAUUGA